Molecule: microRNA, 22 nt
Filed under: Branchiostoma lanceolatum (amphioxus)
Lineage: Eukaryota; Metazoa; Chordata; Leptocardii; Amphioxiformes; Branchiostomatidae
Description: Bla-Mir-34-P6_3p (mature (guide))
Source: RNAcentral
AGCCACUGUACACACUCCCGUA